AGGUAUUUAAUCUAAUUAAGAUAUUUGAUUUCGACUCAGCCCAUCAUGGUCCCAACCCAUGAAUACCUU
This 69-nucleotide transfer RNA is filed under the name Osphranter bernardus (black wallaroo). RNAcentral describes it as "tRNA-Arg". Lineage: Eukaryota; Metazoa; Chordata; Mammalia; Diprotodontia; Macropodidae. The record is from RNAcentral.